RNAcentral lists this ribosomal RNA (253 nucleotides) under uncultured bacterium. RNAcentral describes it as "partial 16S ribosomal RNA". It matches the Rfam family "Bacterial small subunit ribosomal RNA", at positions 524 to 776 of the family's 1533-position model. The record is from RNAcentral.
UACGUAUGACCCAAGCGUUAUCCGGAAUUAUUGGGCGUAAAGCGAGCGCAGGCGGUUUAUUAAGUCUGAUGUGAAAGCCCGGAGCUCAACUGUGGAAUGGCAUUGGAAACUGGUUAACUUGAGUGCAGUAGAGGUAAGUGGAAUUCCAAGUGUAGCGGUGAAAUGCGUAGAUAUAUGGAAGAACACCAGUGGCGAAGGCGGCUUACUGGACUGUAACUGACGCUGAGGCUCGAAAGCGUGGGUAGCAAACAGG